This is a long non-coding RNA of Cyprinus carpio (common carp), 654 nucleotides long. Lineage: Eukaryota; Metazoa; Chordata; Actinopteri; Cypriniformes; Cyprinidae. The record is from Ensembl.
AUGUGCUGCUCUUCCUGGUGGUGAGCGGAGGGGGUCUGAUAACUUUUGACCCGAAAGCAAUAUGGGACGAGUCCUGCGGUGUAGGACCCCUUGUGAUGGAUGCUUUGACACCAGGUGUCUCUUCUAGUAAACAGACAUGCACAAAACACUUACAAAAUCUUAGCUGAUAUAACCCUAUAAACCCCACAUUUAUAUUUGAUAUGCAAAUUUCUGAGGCUUCUNAGACCCGAAAGCAAUAUGGGACGAGUCCUGCGGUGUAGGACCCGUUGUGAUGGAUGCUUUGACACCAGCUGUCUCUUCUAUCGGCAGGUUCAUUCUUCAUCGUGAAGAUGUGGCGGACCUUACAGCAGGCAGAGAUGAUGAUGCCAUCCAGAGACAGGAAGCACGUCCUUCUGAAUAUCUCAGCGGUAACUGCAUCUUGUGUGUUUGACUGCUGCCUUCAACACUGUAUACAAAGCCCUUCACUUCUUUAUCAAACACUUGUUAAAAAAUUGAAAAUAAAAUCAAUAAAAAAUGAGAUUAUUUACAGGGCAGAUUCAGCUAUACAAACUGUGUCUCUAAGAAUCUGUAUUCCUUUUUACGCCAUUGAAUGCUGUGUUUCUAAGGUUUUUCAUCAUUAUUAUCUCUAAGGUUUUUCUUUUAUAUUUACAUUUU